This is a long non-coding RNA of Lutra lutra (Eurasian river otter), 2353 nucleotides long. RefSeq lists it as uncharacterized. The record is from RefSeq and is a predicted model, not a curated record. NCBI's taxonomy places the organism in Eukaryota, Metazoa, Chordata, Mammalia, Carnivora, Mustelidae. The transcript is spliced from 4 exons.
UGUCUCCUGAUUGGCCGCUCCAGCGCCAGGCAGGAUGGGAUUGGAAGCCAAAUACGGGCGGGAGGAGACGGACAAGGAGCUGGGUCCCCUUUGGGGGGAGACGAAACCUCGGGACUGAGAGAGGCCAGAAAGUGUUGGUUUGGAUUCCUAAGGAAUUUCCAACAAAAAAGAAAUGGAGGAACAAGACACUUUCAGAUCAUGUCAUAUCUUGUACAUUAAAAUAAGAAUGUGAACAAGAAAGAUAAGUGAUGAUGUGUAAAUGAGCAAAAGGUGACUCUAGGCCCCAAAACUAGAUGAAAUCUGGAAAGAACCCGCUCGUGUUUCCUAGUCCCAAGUGUUGGGGCAGGGCAACUGAAGAGCUUCGGAGAGAUAAGAAUGGUAAGAAAAUCUGAGAAGCCAGACUUCAAGUGUCGUGUCUCCAUCCAGACUGUGCACGUUGGGGAUUUGAGUGAGAUUUCUGGGGGGUCCCUGAUCACAUGCCUACCAGACACUAACAUCCGCAGUCAGAAGUGCUGUCCCACAGCGCUGCAGGGAAGGGGACUGCUUUCUGUGCUGGCUGGGCACCUAUGGCCCUGUGAGUGGGCUGCGAGUGGAGGUCAUGCCUAGCAUCUUCCUGACAAGAGAGCCAUGAGCUCUGUAUUGAGAUGGUGGUGUGCCCCGUUCACAGAAAACAGAUUUAUACAUUGAUUGAAUGGUUCAUUCUAAGUGAUUCCAAAAGAGAUGAAGGAGAAAGCGACCUCUCCAGGAACGACCCCAUUCCAGCAACUCUUCUCCUGUUGGAAAACAACCACCAAAUCUUAACCGAAUGACGGGUGCCUACUUGCUGAUCCAGCGCCCCUCUAACCUGUGUCCCCGGAUUGUCAUGUGUGAGUAUAAAGAACAUGUGGCAAGGUACAGGGUGGGGACAACUCUUUUAACUUACUCCUUUAAACUUGUUUGAACUUUAAUAUAUUUAUACAUCAGCCAAGAGGGGUUUUUGUUCAUUUACUUUAGAAGAAUAACCUGUGCUUCUUAUAAAACAAGAUGCAACAAAAUAAAAAUGUACAAAAAGUGAGAGUCCUUCCCCUUCGUGACCCACUCUUUUGCCAAAGCUCAUCGUCUCUCUCUCUCCCACUCCCCGCUCUCAUCAUAUGGUGCACACUAAUCUGAAAAUUGCUUAUGUUACUCAAAAAUACCUUGGGAUUGUGCUUUUGUGUCAAUAUGGACAACUACACCUUGUUCUUCUAGGUCCCCACGUAACGUUCUAUAGGAUACACACACCAUCAUAUAUUUAACCAUUCCCCGAGUAACAGGCAUUAGGUAGUCUCCAAUGUUCAUUUUUAUAAACAAUACUGUCAUAAGUCUAUCUCAUAACGGUACACUUUUGUAUACUUUCAUAAGUCUUUGUAGGAGAAAUUCUUAGAAGUUGAAUGGCAAAACUCCUCCCUCCUACGCACAGAACUCCCACGCCGGCCAAGUAUCCGUCACACCAGCCUUCAAAGUCAGACCUCCAUGGUCCUUCUCCCCUAUUCACAUCCACUUCCACCUUUCAUCUACAUGCUGCCCCUCGCUGGUUUCACUGGAGGCAGGCCACUUUCUUUUGUGCUCAGGGGAUCUGCCCAGGCAAAAAGAAGCAAGAAUUCAUGUCAUUAAUAUAAAACACACUUUCAAAAUGAUGGUCUGAGAAAGAGCCUACUGAGAAAUGGUGGAUAAGGAAGUGGGUACUCUGAGGUCAUAAACUAGACUGAAUGUGUUCUCGGAGUCCCCAGUAGUUCUUAUUUUUGACUCCCCAUCUCAGUGCUGGGUAGGAAGCAUUUCUGAGUAUUUUAGUAGAUUCUCUUCCCUAACCAAUAGCUCCUUCAUUAGGCAGCUUGUGCCAGGAGAAGCAGACUGGCUGGUGCCGACAGUUGGUGAUGCGUGUUGCAAGGUUCCUUUGUAAGCCACAUGUCAUUUAGUCCCUGCAACCAUCCCGGGAAGGGUAGGGGCAAUGACAGGGGCCCAGCAAUGAGGAAGUGACUUGCCUGGCCAGUGAGUGAGGCCCAGGGUUCUUAGACAGGUCACCCUGACACCAAAGCCCAGGUUUCUUUCACUAUUUGAAAAAUUUGUUGUAGUCUUACUCCAGACCAUUUCUUCUAGAUAAGUGGUUAAAUGAUCUCCUUGUACAAGUUCACCUCCUCCCUAGGAUCAGAAAGAGAAAAUCAGUUUCUGCUGGGUUGGACUCAUGGUCUGUUGUUUGCAUUUAUUUCUUGAAUUAUUUUUGUCUUCCAUCCUUAGAUAAAAUUUCAAUAAGCAACAGAAAACCUUUAUUUGAAAUUGGCCCAUUGGGAAAGUAGAGACUAAGUAAGAUACAGCUUUGUCUGCAAAAGUCCUUUAC